This 71-nucleotide transfer RNA is filed under the name Gemmataceae bacterium. Its description in RNAcentral is "tRNA-Ala". It matches the Rfam family "tRNA". From Rfam's summary of the family: Transfer RNA (tRNA) molecules are approximately 80 nucleotides in length. Their secondary structure includes four short double-helical elements and three loops (D, anti-codon, and T loops). The record is from RNAcentral. Lineage: Bacteria; Pseudomonadati; Planctomycetota; Planctomycetia; Gemmatales; Gemmataceae.
GGGCUGCUGGUCAAAUGGGAAGACGCCGGCGUCGCAAGUCGGAAAUCGGGGUUCGACUCCCCGGCGGUCCA